GGACGAAUAGCUCAACGGCAGAGCAGUGGUUUGUUAGACCAAUGGUUGAAAGUUCGAGUCUUUCUUUGUCCG
This 72-nucleotide transfer RNA is filed under the name Ferruginibacter sp. RNAcentral describes it as "tRNA-Asn". It matches the Rfam family "tRNA". Rfam says of the family: Transfer RNA (tRNA) molecules are approximately 80 nucleotides in length. Lineage: Bacteria; Pseudomonadati; Bacteroidota; Chitinophagia; Chitinophagales; Chitinophagaceae. The record is from RNAcentral.